Molecule: ribosomal RNA, 645 nt
Filed under: uncultured archaeon
Lineage: Archaea
Description: bacterial SSU rRNA
Rfam family: Archaeal small subunit ribosomal RNA
Source: RNAcentral
UUCCGGUUGAUCCUGCCAGAGGUCACUGCUAUCGGGGUUCGAUUAAGCCAUGCGAGUCGAGAGGGUUCGNCCCUCGGCGUACUGCUCAGUAACACGUGGAUAACCUGCCCUAGGGGAGGGGAUAACCCCGGGAAACUGGGGAUAAUNCCCUAUAGGUUACAGAUGCUGGAAUGCCCUGUAACCAAAAGCUCCGGCGCCCUAGGAUGGAUCUGCGGCCGAUUAGGUUGUUGUUGGGGUAACGGCCCAACAAGCCCGUAAUCGGUACGGGUUGUGGGAGCAAGAGCCCGGAGUUGGAUUCUGAGACACGAAUCCAGGCCCUACGGGGCGCAGCAGGCGCGAAACCUUUACAAUGCGGGCAACCGUGAUAAGGGAACCUCGAGUGCCUGUAAACGCAGGCUGUUCAGGUGUUUAAAACGCACCUGGAGAAAGGGCCGGGCAAGACCGGUGCCAGCCGCCGCGGUAAUACCGGCGGCUCGAGUGGUGGCCGCUUUUAUUGGGCUUAAAGCGUUCGUAGCUGGGUUGUUAAGUCUCUUGGGAAAUCUGGCGGCUUAACCGUCAGCGUCUAAAGGGAUACUGGCAAUCUUGGAACCGGGAGAGGUGAGGGUACUUCGGGGGUAGGGUGAAAUCCUGUAUCCUCGAGGGACC